CACUCGUCUCUCCUUCCCCCUCUCCCGCCGUCGCCGGCACGCGCCGCCUCCGCCUUGCCCUCGCGCCGCCGCGUCCACCGCGGCCACGGCCGCCGCGUCCACCUCCGCCGCUGUCGCGUCGCCGUCAGCGAGGCGAGCCGCCAUCUCCGCCUUAGCCACCGCCGUCGUCGAGCGCCGCCGCUGCCAACCGCCACUUCCGGCCGCCGGCGUCCCGAUCCGGCCGCCUUCCCCUCGCAGCACGCCGUCGCCGUCACCGAGCGCGCCGCCUCCGCCUCACGUCGGUGCUGCCGACCGCCGGGUCCGGCUGCCUUCGACGGUCGACGUCUGGAUCCGGCCUCCGUGUUGUCGGGGCAUGCGGAUCUGACCGCCCGCGUCCCCUCCUCGCCUCACCCUCUCACUCUCCCUCUCCCUCUUCCUCUGACCGCCCCCGUCCGGAUCCCACUUCGCUGCCGCUCUCCCCGCGACGAGCAUAGGCACGGCUGCAUCUUUCCGGCGGCGGCGACAUCUUCUCGACGACGACAGCGUCUUCUCGGCGUAGGCAGCGUGGUUCAUAGGAGAGCCAUGGCUUUUGGAGAUGAAGUUGCACAACAGUUGUGGGCGGGGAAGACCUGUGUCCUCGUGGGUGGAGCUGUCGAGAGAAAUUUCACUAUUGUGACCAGCAGUAGUUUCAGCGCUUGGAGGAUUCAAUCUUCACUGUCGGUACAAUCAUUUGUUGGGAAAUAACUUGUCGGAUGAUAUUCCUUUCCACCUGCCAUUUUACUCCUCAGAUUACAUCUGUUGUCGUGUUAUGCAUUUGGUGUGUUGCUGCAAAUCCUGGUGACCCUGGCAUUUUCAAGUCGGCAGAGCAUCCAAAAUUGAACAAGGAUGGAAGGCGAUCCCAGAAAAAUUCAGAUCAUGGGUUAAGUCAAGGAGGAAAAAUGUCAAGUGAUGGAUUUAAUGCUGUUUAUAACAGCGAGAAAUUGAGCAACAUGCUUGAGCUAAAAGAUUCACAUUCCUAGCCCACAUUUUCUGAAAUACUUUGUUUCCCCUUUUCCUGCCUUUGCAAAAGAUGCUUCCAUGCGGAUCAUCAGUCAUCUGAACAGCACAUGAGUGAAGAAGGAAUGUUCUUCUUCAGCUUGUGUGCGAAGCAGAGGUAUGAUCAACUGAUGUUCAGAAAUUUUAAUUUUCUAAGGUUAUUGGGGUUAUUGGCCACAAGCUCCAUUUGUUGCACUGGUCUCUUUUAAUGAUGUGUCAGUACUUUAGAUUAUAGUGUGACAUGUGCUGGUAAAUAUAAGCCAGUAGGAGUAUCAGAAUAAUCAAUGUAAUUUAGAAACAACUAUGGUUAACUAGAUUGCAUUCAUACAAGAAUCAUGAUUGUUAUUAGUAUCAAAUAUUCAUGUAAUUCCAAAUUAUAAAUGAUUGUCCACGUGCUGUGCAUAUGCGUACUCCCAAAAUAAUCAAAUCAAUUACUUUAUCUAUGCAAACAAUGUUUACUUCCAAAUUGUUCAUACCAGCACUUUCUGGUUCUACAUGUUUUAUAGUUGUGUGUUGAAAAGUAUGAAAGAGCCGGUGCAAGCUUUCUAAAUGCUGAAUGCUAAUGAUUUUGGCCUGUCAAAACAUUUGAUGGUAUCUUCAGUGAUUGCACUAUCUUAUGGGUGAUACAUGCUGCUAAGACUAUGUAAUAGGCUGGUCCUGAAGAGUGAAGAACAGUAAGCAUUGUAGAGUAUGUGACAAGUGUGUCGAUGGCGUUGAUCAUCAUUGCAGAUGACUCAACAAUUGCACAGGGAAAAGGAACUACAAAGGGUUCUUCGUUCUAAUGACUUGCUGUACUCCUUGUUUCCAUGGUUUGUACACCUUGGACCAGCUUGUAAUGCAGUGGCUGUCAGGAGCCCUUGUGCUGAUUCUCUGCAUUGUGGAGCGAGGGGAGUUCUCCAGACAGAUUGUUUACAAGUUAGGAAGUACCUUCUCAACUGUAGUGUUUAUAAUUGUUGUGGAUAUUAGUACGUAUGAUUACAUCAUAGCUUUAAGAGAGCAAGACGAGGAUCAACAGGAAGAGAUUGCUGGGCACCAAAGUCCGUAGAUGUGUAUUAUUAGCUCUGUUACUGGAUUUAGCACUGCAAGUUUUUUGGUCCGCUUCAUCGUGGUUCAUGGUGCACUCCACCACGAUUGUUCCUUGAAGAUCAGUUUGAUGUCAUCCCUCCAGAGAUUGGCAUGCAACAGAACUCAGGGAGCCAUGUGCAACCUAGCUGAGCCGCCGGCUGUAAGGUAUAAGUCAUGUCUCCUCUGCAUCCCUCUCUCACUACUCUGGUUGUACUGCACUGCUCCCAACUGAAAGCUUUGAAAUCGAGUGGAAAUGUGUAUUGAUUUCAUUGCUCUGGUUAUGCAAAAUAUUCAUUGGAUGAAAAUCAUAUGCGCAGAUCUGUUUUUAGUAGUAGUUUCACAGGAUCACAAUUCGACCAGGAUUUACAAAUAUCUCUUUUGAAAUUAGUGGCCAUGACCAGAGGAGUUACAAGCUAUGGAAAAAACUAUGAAUCUACACAAUUAGUCUAUCUGUUCAUUGAAAAUGCUAAAGGACUGGUAAUGUUAAAAAUAUUAAAUGGAAAUAUAUUGUAGUUUGCGUACUUUUCAUUCAAAAUUUAUGCCUUGCCAUUUAAUUGGUGCUAGGUACCGUAUAUGGUAAAUAAAAUUUUUAGUAGUUUUGUAUGUACAAAUGAACAUGUUCUUGGAAGCAUAUUAUGCUAAAUAGAUGUUCUUGAUCCUGGUUGUCUUCUAGGUGCAUGUCCAUUAGUAAGCUAGAAGUAUGUUUUUAAUCUGCAGUUCUAGGGAGAACAACCAAUAUUGGUUCUACAGGGCCAAUCUGCAGCCAUAGCUGCAGGCUUCCGUCAGUGCUAUCAACAAGAACAUGCUUAUGUAGGUUGUUUUAUUUUGCCUCGCUUUGUAUGGAUUAGUUUCUUUGAUUUAUUCAUCCUAGCAUUGUUUGCCACAUCCAUUUUAACUUGUUUUGCCUUAUUUUUAUUAUUGACAAAUACAACAGCCAUGUAACCAAUUUAAGAUUUAGUUUCCUGUUAGCUUUGAGAUUUACUAAAAAAUAAUACAUUACCUCCUGACAACUAAUGCAUUUAGGCCCAGUAAUGAAUGUAUCCUAGGGGCACUGAUGUGUCCUAUUUUUCAUAUUCACUGUCAAAAUAAAAAAAAAUGCCUCUGUUCUAUUUUUUGGUUGUGCUGAUGGUAAUAUGCUUUUAUAACAUAGAUAUGCUGCAUUUGUGCAAAAAUUAAUUGUUUUGGAAGGUAUCACUGAAAAAAGGCAUUUCAAAUUGCAGGUUUGAACUACUGCCCUCUGAUUGAACUUACUGCAUUUUGUUAUUAAACACCUCACUCUGAGUUUAUUUGUAGAAUUUUCCAGUCUAAACUUAGAUAUCUCUUGCUCUAAUUAGCGAAGAUAGUUUUAGUUGUGAUUCUGUUAGGUUUUUGUAAUAUACACCAUGAGGCAACUCUAGGCUGUGGGAAGACCAAGCAGUAAUACAUUUUCUUUUGAUAAGGAACGUUCAGUGACUCAAUUUUAACCAGUGUUGUGACCUAUUAUUCGUUAUAGGGGAUGAAAUUGUUACCAAUGGGCAUCUGCUAGAAAGAAACCAGCGUGUAAACUCUGUGGCGUUGCACUCCAGGUGUUUGUGGUUUUGCCUUAUGUAGUAGUUUGAAUUUUGCUUUGCGAUAUGGUGCUUGCAGGGGCUGAUCACUGGAGGUGUGAUUCUGUUUGCCAGUUGAGGGAAGAAUUCACACGCUUCUGUUCACUGAGGACAUCUUCUCAACCUAUUGCUUCCACCGAUCAUCUUUAAUGAUAGCUUCGGCGAUUCCGGUAAUUUUUGCGUUUUGUAUAUCUAUCGUAGCUUGCAUCCUCACCAAAAUUUGAUUAGCAAAAUGCUGCAGUUAAGAAGCUCAAGAAAAGACAUGACCGGUAACUGAAGAAAGGUGGAGAUGUUCUUUUCCUUUUGGCAUUGGUUCAGAUUAGCAAAAUGCUGCAGUUAAGAAUCUCAAGAAAAGGUUCAGUUCUUCUCCUUCCAGUUCUUUUGUUUUCGAAAUUACUAUCAGAAAAAAAUGCAGGUGCUCAUGUAGCUCUCUCGCGCCAAGAACACUGCUCUCAAACUGAUUCAAUGUUUUCAGACAUAACCAGUAACUGAAGAAAGGUGGAGAGAGGUUCUUCUUAUGUUACUUGGUUCGCUCUCUGUGCCCACACUGCAAGAGUGCCACCAAUAUCGGCCAGCCCUCACCGUGUGACCUACUACUGCUUCGAUGCUCUACUAUCUACAUGCCAUUUUUGGUAUGUUUGUUGUAUGACUGUUUGCAUGGGCGGUAGCGCGAGCGGCGGCGGCGGGCGGGCGGUGGGCGGAGGCGUGAGGCGAGGCGGGGGCGGGGUGGUGGACGGCGGCGUGCAGGGGUGGGCGGUGGGCGGCAGCGCGAGGCGAGCACGGCGGCGGAGGCGUCGAGGCUGAAGCCCAAGAGGUGGUCGGCCACGACACAGGUGACCGGCGGCACGGCGUCGUCGUCGUCAUCGCUGGCGGCACGGUUGUUGAGGUCGGCGAGCAGCUUCCUAAAGUGGGGGAGGCAGGUAGUCAUGGUGGCGUCGGCGUCGGACUCCGGUAGGCCGUCCGGGAUGGUGGCGAAGAGGAACCCCGGGAUUCCGGCCACGGCAGCGGCGGCGGUUGUACUCGCCGUCGCCGCAUGCAGUCGUCCGCCGUCAGCGCCCGCCUCCUCGUCUCGCGCCGCUGCCUCGUCUUGCGCCGCUGCCUCGUCUCUCGCCGCUGCCCACCGCCCUGCCCCGCACGCCGCCGUCUGCCCAUCCGCCGCUCCCUCUUCUCGCGCCGCCGCCAUCCACCGACACCUCCGCCGCUGCAUGCAGCCGUAUGCCGUCCAGCGCCCGUCCACUCGUCUCGCGCCGCCACCUGCCCACCGCCCGGCCCCGCGCGCCGCCGUCCGCCCGUCCGCCGCUCCCUCGUCUCGCGCCGCCGCCAUCCACCAGGAGGCCCCCGAGGUCGACGCGGCCGCGGCGCGGAGCCCCCUGGCGGCUGCCGCCUCGCCUCACCUCGCCGCUGCCCGCGCUCGCUGCCUCUGCCGUCGCCGUUUGAACUCUGAAGGAGAAGAGAGAGAGACAGUGAGGGAUAGAAGAGAUAGAAGAGAGAGAAACUGACAGGCGCGCGAAUGAGUUCGCACCUACUAUUGAAUUCUCUUACUACUCACCCAUCCGAGGUACUCUUUCUGGUUGUCCCAAAUCAAGUUUAGAUUGCCUGCAGAGAUAAUAUGGCACCAGAUAUUAUCCAUUCUAGGGUUAAUGCUGAAUUCUGCAUCCUGGUUUUUGUUUUGUGCCACUCUGUUGCAUGUGAACAUGUUCGUCUGAAAAUGGGGUUUGGAAGGAUGAACCAUCAACAUAUCCGCUACAUUUAUUCUUCGGUGAAUAGCUAAUAUUUCUUCUAUCAGUGUUAGCCACGGAAAAUCAGAUAGGGCAGCGAAUUCAAAAUGUAGAACCCUGUCCUGCUAAAUAAAGUAGUGCUUUAUUUUUACUACAGGUGCAUUACUUCUGUAUUUAUUCUCUUUUUAUUUUCAUCUUAGCAAAUAAGAUACUGAUGAUAUGACUUGAUUAUGUGGAUCUAAUCAUUCAUUUUCAAAUAAUGGAUAAACUUGCAUGUAUAGUGUAUCUAUAGAUAUGUAUGUAUGGCUAAAACAAAAAUCUAAAUUGGACUGUAGAAUGAACAGAAGAAAAGCCAACAAAGAAGAACUCGCUUGUAAGAUGUACUGAAGCAAGAGAUGAAAAUAAAUGUUGUGAUUGUUGUCAUAGUGAAUGAUGAUUAAUAUUCUCAACUGUACUUCAAAUUUUUAAGGAAGUCAAAGUUUGAUUUUUUUUUUUUGGGGAAAAUUCUGAUGAUGACAAUAACUUGCAUGUUUACAGUACCAUUUUCUGUAUGCUAUUUCCAGGUGAUUGUUUGGAAGUGGCAUGCACAGGAGAGAUUAAUAAACUGCCAGAAGAGGAGAUGACAUAUAUCUGAUUGAUAGAAUUGUCUUUAGUGUACCAUAAUUAUACUUCGUCUUUAGAAUGUUGCUCCGCCUAUGUGGGCCGUUCGUCCCCAUAGGGUCAUGCCAAUUGCCAAAAUUGAUGUUGGGCGUUCGUUUUAGGCUCAUGUUGUUAGUGUAAAUGUGGUACACUGAUAGAGAUGCAGAAAGGGUUAUUCUGUAAAAAUGGGAGUAUGGGUUGGUCCUGUUGGACAGGGUUAGUACCAUCAGAGAGGAUUCUGGCAGUAUGUCAAUGUAGGCAUCAUUCAGUUAUUCUGCUUUUGAAAGAGGAACCACCUGUCAGGGAAAAAAAACUGGUGCAUGACAAGGGGAAAAAAGUAGUCGCAAAGAAAAUUCGAAAGCAGUUAGGUUUAGACGUAAAACCACAGUUAUAGUCUCUGGUUGACUUUACUAAAAAAGAGGAGUGAUUUUGUCGUAAGAAUGUUAACUGAGAAUUUUCUAUGUAAUGCUUGAAGCAAGCACACACACGUGUGGGCUGCUUACUGAUAUAUGAAGAUGAUAAUUCUGCCAUUCGUGUGGUGAAGCUGUGGUGAAAUUAGAGGAAAUGUUGAUUGCUGGAAUUGUGAAGAGAACAACUUGUUAUAAACCUUCGGGAUAUGCGAGUGCAUUUUCAUGUUACAAACUUAGCUAGCCAAUGUAGCACUGGUGCAAUGGGCUUGUUAUUAUUCUUUUUCGCAGAUCUAAAUACAUAAUUAUUUAAGGAAAAAAAUAUUGGGGCAUGGGCUCUUAGUGUAAAAAAGAAACUCCGGUUAAAAAACAGCUUUUGAGGUUGAGUAAAUGUGAGUCAAAUAAAAUUAACUUGGCUGCAUUUCCUUGUUAGAUUGAAGUGUUUAAUACUGAAGAAACUGAUCAGUCACAAGGAGGCUCCACUGGUUAAAUAAAUCAUGGCAAAUACUCAACAAGGAGUCUCUCAUCUAAAGAGUAUUCGCAACUAACUGUAAAUCCAUUGACUAGAUGAUACCACUGUUGGCUUUGUAUGUAUAUGUUGGCUUUGUAUGUAUAUGUUCUUCAAUAAGUCAAGCACAAAUUAGUGAAUGAUCCUUUGUCUCUAGCCUUGUAUAAAUGUAUAAUAUAUGAAAUCUACAUGUUUGCACAAUUGUGUACAGGCGGCGCGUCAUUGGCGCGCCCCAUCAUCUAGUAUAUUUUAAGUGUCUUAGGACAGACA
Molecule: non-coding RNA, 7207 nt
Organism: Oryza sativa Japonica Group (Japanese rice)
Lineage: Eukaryota; Viridiplantae; Streptophyta; Magnoliopsida; Poales; Poaceae
Source: RefSeq, a predicted model, not a curated record